CUGUGAGGGUGUAUGUUUGUUUGUUCAAUAUCGUGGCAUGAUGAUUCAAAAUGACAUCAUUCGAAGAUAUAUUAAAUCACUGGAUUAUCUGGAUAUAACAGGCAUAUAAAAAACUAUAUACCGGCGACUUUAUUAUAAUAUAUGUAUGUUUCGUAUUUGGAAUAUAGCGCUUGAUUUAUGGUUAAAUCAUUCCAACUCACAAUAUAAAUUUUUUAAACACAAAAUUCGACAUUUUCCCAAUUUUCCUUCCUUGUCAUCUAGUCUCUAC
Molecule: non-coding RNA, 268 nt
Organism: Paramuricea clavata
Lineage: Eukaryota; Metazoa; Cnidaria; Anthozoa; Malacalcyonacea; Plexauridae
Source: the annotation of a GenBank genome assembly